UGUUUGUCCGUGUUAUGACAACCAUUCGUGAUUAAAGAUGGCGGAACAACAAACGGAAACAAUAUCGCUCUCUGAACAUACUGUUGAACAGCUUCCAGCAGAGCUACUGCAGUUUUUCGAAGUUGUGGUUAAAAUGCAUCGACUCUCGGGACCAUAACAAAAAAACGAGCCUGCAAAUGGUUUAUCCACACUGGUUGGAAAUGUCGAUGAAAUCUUAUAGCGGAUUUUCACAUGGCAGCAAAAUACCCUGAAAUCUCUACUGGAAAACUCUAUCACGGGAAAAUCGUUCUUGGAAAGAAGUAAUACGGGAGAAUUCUCCAACCAAAGUCAGGAAAAGCUUGUAGACAUAAUAGCGGAAUAUCAUCUGAGUCUUGGAUUCAAAACCACGGAAAAUCUAUUAGGCUACUACGUCUCAUAAAUUGUUAAUCUAUUCAAACAGGAAAAAAAGGAAUCAUAUUUCAUCCCCCGGUGUAGUGGCAAGCGCAACCAAGGAGGAAAGAUUUAUAACAGAAUUUUUAACCUCAAACAAAAAAUUGCGGCUCAUGGCAAAUCAGAGGAAGUUCAUCAAUCAAAAAAUCUCAAAACAAGUUCAUUGGCGACUCUUGACGUAAUUUGGUGAUGAAGCAUUAACUUAUUGUAGUAAAAAAUUAAUAUUAUUAUCAAUCUAAAGUUAGUCUUGUGGGAGUAAUAGAAUAUCUUCUAGUUGAAGAUGUUGUUUAAGUUGUAGGUGAACAAUGAAUUGUUGGUGAUUUUAAUGAUCAUUUUCUCGCAAAUGAAGCCACUUCUAAGACAAACAUUGUAAACAUAAUUAGAUUUUAUAAUAAAAAUAUCAU
Molecule: long non-coding RNA, 833 nt
Organism: Toxorhynchites rutilus septentrionalis
Lineage: Eukaryota; Metazoa; Arthropoda; Insecta; Diptera; Culicidae
Exons: 4
Source: RefSeq, a predicted model, not a curated record